Molecule: transfer RNA, 74 nt
Filed under: Magnolia kwangsiensis
Lineage: Eukaryota; Viridiplantae; Streptophyta; Magnoliopsida; Magnoliales; Magnoliaceae
Description: tRNA-Ala
Rfam family: tRNA
About the family: Transfer RNA (tRNA) molecules are approximately 80 nucleotides in length. Their secondary structure includes four short double-helical elements and three loops (D, anti-codon, and T loops). Further hydrogen bonds mediate the characteristic L-shaped molecular structure. tRNAs have two regions of fundamental functional importance: the anti-codon, which is responsible for specific mRNA codon recognition, and the 3' end, to which the tRNAs corresponding amino acid is attached (by aminoacyl-tRNA synthetases). tRNAs cope with the degeneracy of the genetic code in two manners: having more than one tRNA (with a specific anti-codon) for a particular amino acid; and 'wobble' base-pairing, i.e. permitting non-standard base-pairing at the 3rd anti-codon position.
Source: RNAcentral
GGGGAUAUAGCUCAGUUGGUAGAGCUCCGCUCUUGCAAAGGCGGAUGUCAGCGGGUCGAGUCCGCUUAUCUCCA